AUUGAACGCUGGCGGCAGGCUUAACACAUGCAAGUCGAGCGGGGAAAGGUAGCUUGCUACCUGACCUAGCGGCGGACGGUGGAGUAAUGCUUAGGAAUCGGCCUAUUAGUGGGGGAAAACAUCUCGAAAGGGAUGCUAAUACCGCAUACGUCCUACGGGAGAAACAAGGGGACUUCCGGGCCUGGCGCUAAAAGAUGAGCCUAAGUCGGAUUAGCUAGUUGGUGGGGUAAAGGCCUACCAAGGCGACGAUCUGUAGCGGGUCUGAGAGGAUGAUCCGCCACACUGGGACUGAGACACGGCCCAGACUCCUACGGGAGGCAGCAGUGGGGAAUAUUGGACAAUGGGGGGAACCCUGAUCCAGCCAUGCCGCGUGUGUGAAGAAGGCCUUUUGGUUGUAAAGCACUUUAAGCGAGGAGGAGGCUACCGAGAUUAAUACUCUUGGAUAGUGGACGUUACUCGCAGAAUAAGCACCGGCUAACUCUGUG
This 485-nucleotide ribosomal RNA is filed under the name uncultured bacterium. RNAcentral describes it as "partial 16S ribosomal RNA". It matches the Rfam family "Bacterial small subunit ribosomal RNA", at positions 30 to 507 of the family's 1533-position model. The record is from RNAcentral.